This 253-nucleotide ribosomal RNA is filed under the name uncultured bacterium. Its description in RNAcentral is "partial 16S ribosomal RNA". It matches the Rfam family "Bacterial small subunit ribosomal RNA", at positions 524 to 776 of the family's 1533-position model. The record is from RNAcentral.
UACGUAGGGUGCAAGCGUUGUCCGGAAUUAUUGGGCGUAAAGAGCGUGUAGGCGGCCCGACCAGUCCGCUGUGAAAGUCCAGGGCUCAACCCUGGAAUGCCGGUGGAUACUGUCGGGCUAGAGUCCGGAAGGGGCGAGCGGAAUUCCUGGUGUAGCGGUGAAAUGCGCAGAUAUCAGGAGGAACACCUAUGGCGAAGGCAGCUCGCUGGGACGUGACUGACGCUGAGACGCGAAAGCCAGGGGAUCAAACGGG